AUGACCUGUAACAGGGGAAGGGAAGAGAGGGUAGAAGACUGAGAGCAGAGAAGUUGAAAGAAAAAAAGAAGCAAACUGGGACCCAGAAAUUACAAAGUACCAGACAGGCCCAGUGGCCUAACUACCGUAACUCUUCCACCCCAAGAUAUGGAUAAGACCAGUAACCAACCAG
This 172-nucleotide long non-coding RNA is filed under the name Pogona vitticeps (central bearded dragon). Its description in RNAcentral is "lncRNA (ENSPVIG00000021736.1)". The record is from RNAcentral. Lineage: Eukaryota; Metazoa; Chordata; Lepidosauria; Squamata; Agamidae.